AUUGAACGCUGGCGGUAGGCCUAACACAUGCAAGUCGAACGGUAGCACAGAGAGCUUACUCUCGGGUGACGAGUGGCGGACGGGUGAGUAAUGUCUGGGAAACUGCCCGAUGGAGGGGGAUAACUACUGGAAACGGUAGCUAAUACCGCAUAACGUCGCAAGACCAAAGUGGGGGACCUUCGGGCCUCACACCAUCGGAUGUGCCCAGAUGGGAUUAGCUAGUAGGUGGGAUAAUGGCUCACCUAGGCGACGAUCCCUAGCUGGGCUGAGAGGAUGCACAGCCACACUGGAACUGAGACACCGUCCAGACUCCUACGGGAGGCAGCAGUGGGGAAUAUUGCACAAUGGGCGCAAGCCUGAUGCAGCCAUGCCGCGUGUAUGAAGAAGGCCUUCGGGGUGUAAAGUACUUUCAGCGGGGAGGAAGGCGGUGAAGUUAAUAGCUUCACCGAUUGACGUUACCCGCAGAAGAAGCACCGGCUAACUCCGUGCCAGCAGCCGCGGUAA
Molecule: ribosomal RNA, 504 nt
Filed under: uncultured bacterium
Lineage: Bacteria
Description: partial 16S ribosomal RNA
Rfam family: Bacterial small subunit ribosomal RNA
Source: RNAcentral